UUCUUGAAAAUUAAAAAAUUUGGCGGUAUUUUAGUCUUUUCAGAGGAACCUGUUCUAUAAUCGAUAGUCCACGAUUUAAAGUACUUUUUUUAAUAGUUUGUAUAUCGUCGUAGGUUGAAUAUUUUAAGAGAAAAAAAUAUUCAAAAUUUAAUUUAUAAAAUAAAUCAGAUCAAGGUAUAGUUAAUAAAAAAGAAGAAAUGGGUUACAAUAAUUAUAAAUGAGAAUUUAAAGUUUAAAAUUUUAAUGAAUAAGGAUUUGAAAGUAAUUUUAUUGAAAUUAAUAAAAUGAUAUAAGCUCUAAAAUAUGUACAUAUCGCCCGUCGCUUUCACUUUAAGGUGAAAUAAGUCGUAACAAAGUAGAUUUACUGGAAAGUGAAUCUAGAAAGACAAGUUAGAGCUUGAAAAAAGCAUUUUAUUUACAUUAAAAAGUUAAUUGUGAAAUUCAAUUUAACUUGAAAAAAAAAAAUUAUUAAAAAUUUAGGUAAAAAAUUUAUUAAAAAAAAAAAUUAAAUUUUUGAGUAUAAAUAAAAAAAAAUAAAUUUUAUUAUAGAGAAUUAAAGUAUUGGGAGAGAAAUUUAUUAUUUGAAAAUAAGAAAAAUUUAUUUUUUUGUACCUUGGGUAUCAGGGUUGAUUAAUUUUUAAAAAUAUUAUAAUAUCUCGAAUUUAAAAGAGCUAAUUAAAUAUAAUUUUAUUGUAGAAUAAAUAUUUAAAAUAUUAAGUUAGUAAUGAAACGUUAUUCGUUUUUAAAUUUAUCUAGUUAUUUAAGAAAAAAAUUAAAUUUUAUUUUUAUUAAUAAAUUUUUUUAUAUUUAAUAAUUUAUUAUUAAAAUUAAAUAAAAAGGGGGAUAAGCUUCUUUUUAAAGUUUUAAAAAUAAUUUAAAGGGUUAAAUUUAUAGAAUUUAAAAUGUUCAUUGUUAAGAAUUUGUUAUAAUUGAUUUAAAAAUGAAAAUACUUUAUAUUAAUUUUAAAUUUUUUAUUAAAUUAUUAAUUAUAAUAAUAAUAAUUAAGAAAUAAUGAUUAAAUUAGUAGUUAAUAUUGUAGAUAAUAAAUUUAAUUAAAGAUUAAAUAAAGGAACUCGGCAAAUAUAAUUUUCACCUGUUUAUUAAAAACAUGGCCUUUUGAAUAUAAUUUAAGGUCUAGCCUGCCCACUGAGGAGUUGAAGGGCCGCGGUAUUUUGACCGUGCUAAGGUAGCAUAAUCAUUAGUUUUUUAAUUGAAAGCUGGAAUGAAUGGUUGGAUGAGAAAGAGACUGUCUCUAUUUAAAUUAAAAUGAAUUUUAUAUUUAAGUAAAAAAGCUUAAAUUAAUUUAAAAGACGAGAAGACCCUAUAGAGUUUAACAAAAAGUUAAUUUUAAAUUUUUAGAAUUUUA
Molecule: ribosomal RNA, 1366 nt
Filed under: Penthea sp. NLG-2014
Lineage: Eukaryota; Metazoa; Arthropoda; Insecta; Coleoptera; Cerambycidae
Description: partial 16S ribosomal RNA
Source: RNAcentral